Cavia porcellus (domestic guinea pig) is the source of this 1085-nucleotide long non-coding RNA. RefSeq lists it as uncharacterized. The transcript has 2 exons. The record is from RefSeq and is a predicted model, not a curated record. Lineage: Eukaryota; Metazoa; Chordata; Mammalia; Rodentia; Caviidae.
AUAAAUAGCACCAAAGUGCCUGUAGAAAAGCAUUUAUCAACCUCUCAACUGAGUUCCAUAAACGUGCAGCAAAGUCAGCUGACUAGAGGAUACGCUAACCCUAAGCACACGUGAGCAUCAUCUAUGAUGCAGUCUCGUCAGUAUUUAUGGGUGUUUGCGAAGGACAGGGACUGGCCUACGCCCUGGGGUAAAGAAGCCUGUGUCUCUGUGUCUGGAACGAAUUUGUGCAGAAAAGGAUAGCGUCUAAAAUGAUGACCAAAAAAAAAAUUUUUUUUUCCUGUUUUCCUUGAGCCUUUGCUCUCCACCUUGGUCCCUCCUCCCCCAGCCUCAAAUUAAAGAGAAGUGAAGAGAAGGGGUACAGACCCACCAGCCACUUAGAAGAUGCAGGAGAGGCUCCCACGCCAUCCCUCGUCCACAGGGCUGGGUGUGAGUGAUGUCUGGGGACAGUAUAGGGCCAAUGCCCGCAGGAGAGGAGGACCAGAAGUGCCGGGCUCGGUGGGCAGGGCGGCCUGUCCCUGAGCAGGGUGUGACUUAGAACCCAGGAUGCAGGAGGCUUCUCGGGUGGUCCCCCCCACCCGGAAACUACACCCCACUGCAGCCUUUUGUGCGACACGAAAGAAGCUCAAGGUAGAAGCAAUUUAAAGAGCAAAAUCAAAACUCCAUAAUGGGAAACGGGGAGCUAGAUCCUUUCCAAAUGGGAGAAGAAUCUAGAGAUGGAGGGAAUGGAGGAGAAAAGCAACUUUUUGAAAAGGUGCUCCUCGGCGGGCCACGAGGUUAGCAGGAGGGUGCGCGCGCGCUUCAGCGAGUGAGUGCCGGGCUCCCGGACCCAACCCGGAGAGAGCGGAGCGUGGGCAGGAGGCGCGUUCCCCGGGGAUCCCCUGGCCUUGGACCCCGGCCCUGGGCCCUGCCUCACUUCCCCUGCGGCAGGGUGCGCGCGGGCCGCGGACCGGGGCGCUUUGCUCCCGCGCCUGGCCCCCGAGCUUGGCGGGCGGCACUGCGCACCGCAGCGCGAGCUCCUCUCCCUGCAAAAGCCCCACACGGGCUGUCCCGCGGUGCAGCUCUGUGAAUUAAAUUGUUAACACUGA